This 359-nucleotide ribosomal RNA is filed under the name Ephestiasula sp. MN063. Its description in RNAcentral is "partial 12S ribosomal RNA". Lineage: Eukaryota; Metazoa; Arthropoda; Insecta; Mantodea; Hymenopodidae. The record is from RNAcentral.
AUUAUUUUUAUUGUGAAAAUGAAGUUAAAGUAUUAAUAGUUAUGAUCUUAAAACUUAAAGAAUUUGGCGGUAUUAUAGUCUAUUUAGAGGAAUCUGUUAUGUAAUCGAUAGUCCCCGUUAACCCUUACUUAUAUAAGUUCUUGUAUACCGCUGUUUAAGAAUAUACUUUUAGGUGAUUUUCUGGAUAUAUAAUUAAUUAAAAUUUCAAGUCAAGGUGCAGGAAUAUAUAAGUUGAAUAAUGGAUUACAAUAAAAUUUAUUUANNNNGGAUGAAUAUUGAAAUUAUAUUUUGAAGGUGGAUUUAAUUGUAAUUUUAUGUAUAUUAUUAAAAAGAAUUAUAGCUCUAUAAUAUGUACACAU